AGAGAAGAAGAGAGAGAGAGAGAGUUCUAUCUUCGGAAAGCAAGCAACAGCAACAGCAGCAGCAACAGCAGCAGCACCAGCAGGAGUCGGUAGCAAGCACGAGGACACCGGCAUCAGCAUCAGCAUCAGCAUCGAAGUAGAAGAGAAAGAGAAUGACGCUAAAAACGACACUGGCAGUCUCGUAAAAGAAAAAAAUAGAAUACUAACGUAUUCUACGGACUCUACGAACGUGGAUACCUAACUAUGCUGGAAUUUGUUCUCUACUGCGAUAAAUGGGGGUGGAAGGGGGAGGAGGAGAAGAGUCAGAAAAGGGGGUGAAAGUUCGAAAUCCGGAAAACGUCGACUGUACGACGGCAUUACGCGUCGUACUCGUUAAGCCGAAGCGAAGGCUCGUGUCAGAACGUUUCCUAAUUAACGUAAGUGCCGUUCGUUUUCGACUUUCACGUGAGAAUUUAGCUAAUUCACACCCCUCACCCCCCCUCCCGCUCUCCUCCUCCUCCUCCUCUUCCUCCUCCCAAACUCACCCCCAAGCUCUCCUAAACAUAUAGAUAGACAGGUAGAUAGACAGAUGAAUAAAGAGAGUUGAAACACUAA
RNAcentral lists this long non-coding RNA (594 nucleotides) under Polistes fuscatus (common paper wasp). Its description in RNAcentral is "uncharacterized LOC122524568, transcript variant X2". Lineage: Eukaryota; Metazoa; Arthropoda; Insecta; Hymenoptera; Vespidae. The record is from RNAcentral.